Long non-coding RNA from Adelges cooleyi (spruce gall adelgid), 1366 nucleotides. RefSeq lists it as uncharacterized. The transcript is spliced from 3 exons. The record is from RefSeq and is a predicted model, not a curated record. Lineage: Eukaryota; Metazoa; Arthropoda; Insecta; Hemiptera; Adelgidae.
CCCUUAUACGUUAUAAAACUACGAAACUCGUUUUUUCAAAUGGAAACAUAUGUUUUUAAUUCCAUAAGUAUGUAGACAAUUUUUUUUAAAAAUUGUUAGCGUUUGAAUUUUCAAUUUUCAACUAUCUGUUCGUUUUCUGUGACUUAGUAAAGAUUUGAAAUUAAAAUCAAUAUUUGUUCGGUUUUUCAGCAGUAGCACUUUUAUUUGCCAGUAAAUAAUGAUAAUAUUGGACCCCAUCGAUAAUACUGUCACCGAUAAUGAGACAUAAAUAACUCUGGCUCUAAUUUUUUUUUAUUAUUAUAUGGACAAUCGAUUCUUAAUCUACCUGUUUGGAAACAAAUAUACCUUACAUAACCGUCAUCCGUUCACAUGUAUUAUCAGUAGACUGCGAUGUGGACGAUUUUGCCUUAAACCACUUUUACGGUAUGAUUAUAAUAUAGCGUUAAUAUUAUUAUCACAGUAUCAUUAUACUAUGGUAUGAGUAAAACUUAAAUUGUCAAACGACAAACAACGUGUACUCGUGAUUUGUGAACAGUUUUUUUUAUAUAUAAAGAAGAAACUAGUAUUGUGUUUUAAAAUGUCUAAUUGUGGUUAGUGACAUACAUUUUACAAUUUAUUUUGAAACUAUAAUGAAUGUAAUGAUUUCAUAAAUAUAAUUAGUUCUCAUUAGUAAUAGUGAAAUUUGUAUUUAAGACUUGGAAAACUCAACAUAACAACCAAGUUAUACAAUAUACCUACUGAUUUAUUUAAUACUAUACGUAAUAUAUUAUUAUUAUAUGGCCAAUUAACAGUUGUUAAUUAUAGUUUAACUGGAAUAAAUGUUGACGACUAACCGCAGGAAAGCUCAGGACAUUUUUUAAGAAGAUUACUGGAAAGAUAAUGAUGUGUUGAAACCUUAAUGUACAAUUUGUCACUGAUUACAAUAGUCAGUAUUGGUUUAUCAAGCUACAUAUCAAUAUGUCAUUUAUGAUUAUUCAGUUACUAGUUAGAUGAAGAAAAUAUUGCUUUCUACUUGGAAUCUUAGAAGAAUAAAAUAUUAGCAUUUAACACAACCAUACUCAACCAGCGGCCCCUGGGCUGCAUACAGCCCGCCGAUUAUUUUUAUGUGGCCCAAAAAGAACUCAUUAUAAAUAUUUAAAGGCUAUAAAAAAAAAAAAAUAUUAAUAUAAAAUAUAAGAAAACAAUUAUAUUUUCAAGAUGUGUAACGUUCGAGAUUGCAAUAAGGAUGUUAAAUUUUAACAUCAUAAUUAUUUGUCUCGAAUAAUAACUUGUAUAAGCAUUUUUAUUAGUACCAUUUAAUGUUAAAAAUAUUAGUUUCUUUUAGUCAAGUCACUCUAUAAUUAUAGUUGACUAUUCAUUUUUUUAA